This 401-nucleotide unclassified non-coding RNA is filed under the name Hevea brasiliensis (rubber tree). The record is from RNAcentral. Lineage: Eukaryota; Viridiplantae; Streptophyta; Magnoliopsida; Malpighiales; Euphorbiaceae.
AUUCAAUAACCCUCUUUCUAAAUCUUCAAAGCUUCAACAGCAACUAGGGCAGAAAAGAAGAAGAAGAAGAAGAAGUCAUGGAAGGCUUAAUUCCUUAUCUCCUUCAUGCAAUGAAGAANNNNNNCAACCGCUAGGGUUUUUUCCCUGAGGGCAAAAGCCGUAGCUACCAUUUGUUAGUAGGCGGCGGGGACUCGUUCAAUGGCUCUUCUCACCGGCGAACCAGGUCGGAGUUCCAGCAACCAAACAUGGAGUUUUUGGAGCAAAGGUCUGGUCUGGAAUAUCUACAAUAUUCAAGCAACUUGAGAAAACGCUCGGUGAAUUCACCUUCAACGGCUGCNNAAGCUUACUAGCUCUUAUAAUAAUCCUCACUAUGGGAAAAACAAUAUUUUCUAAUCUCAGGC